AAUUCAGAUAAUUUAAGUUAAAAAUGUUAGUUUGUGGAACUAAAAAUAUAUAAGUGUAUUCUGGAUA
This 67-nucleotide transfer RNA is filed under the name Somanniathelphusa grayi. Its description in RNAcentral is "tRNA-His". The record is from RNAcentral. Lineage: Eukaryota; Metazoa; Arthropoda; Malacostraca; Decapoda; Parathelphusidae.